Phasianus colchicus (ring-necked pheasant) is the source of this 590-nucleotide long non-coding RNA. RefSeq lists it as uncharacterized. NCBI's taxonomy places the organism in Eukaryota, Metazoa, Chordata, Aves, Galliformes, Phasianidae. The record is from RefSeq and is a predicted model, not a curated record.
UCUGGCUUUUGAACUCCUUCAUGAUCUCCAGGAAGCCGUUGUAGGUGGCGGGGUCGCUGCCGAAGCGGAUCUUCACCUGGUCCAGGAGGAGGUGGCUGAUAGGAAGCCUCGUGGGAGUGCCCAUGCUGAUUAUGAUGGCUAGUGUGUCCGCUAGAAACAGAGCCAAAGAAAACUGGGCAGAUGAAGCCUUCCACUGGAGCAAAAGGUGAGGCGUGAGAAUGAGUUGCCGUCAUGAAAACCUGCCAUGCAACAGUGGACAAAGUUAAAGACCACAUACACCAGCUAUGAAGGACUAACUAGUAAAGGACAUCCUACUUGCACAGUCUGACAUAGAACAUACAGGCUGGUUACUUACAAAGACAUGUGAAGAAUUUCAUUUGUUUCUGGCCUCCAGACCCCACGCAGCAGUUGCUCAAAGUUAGACAUCAAGGCAACACCAGAACCUGUGGAACAAUAAAGGCAAACAGCUAGAACUGCCACACCAGAAGAGAGCUCUGCUGACUCCUCUACAUCCCCACAGGAUAAGCACAAUAUAAUGGGAAGGUUUGUGACAUCCAUCCCAAAAUUAAAAUAAAGUUAUCCUAAAACAA